This is a long non-coding RNA of Equus quagga, 499 nucleotides long. RefSeq lists it as uncharacterized. The transcript has 3 exons. The record is from RefSeq and is a predicted model, not a curated record. Lineage: Eukaryota; Metazoa; Chordata; Mammalia; Perissodactyla; Equidae.
AAUGCACGCUCAACAGCUCACGUGAGGCCCUUUUGGAAAAACAAGUUCAGGCCAAAUUAGUUUUAACCCAAAUGGCUUCCUCAUAUACUCCACUAUAUCCUAUUGUUUGUCAUCUAUUUAUCAUCACCUUUUGAAACAUAUGUCACAUAUGUUUUGCUUUCUCCCCCUCCCACAUUAUCUUGCAGGAUACUUCUCUAGAAUACGCGAAUCAAAUGCUAAAUCUCACCCAAGAUGAAAUAACAGCAACAGAGAAACUAAAUUUGCCAUUUGGGAGGCCCAGGGUUAUGCAGAAGAACAAGGAACACUGUCUCCUUUAUCAUAGGGAAUACGUCAGUGGAUUUGGAAAAGACAUCAGGAUGCCCCUUUGGAGCUCAUACACAGUUCCCAAUCCGGGUACAGAUGUUCCUCUUUUUGUGGAAAGGAAGUGAUUGGCUGUAUCCAGAUUAUUUACUCUUGUUCCAGUUCAAGAUUUCUGGAGAAAAAUAAGCACAUUUUCCCA